This 253-nucleotide ribosomal RNA is filed under the name uncultured bacterium. RNAcentral's name for it is "partial 16S ribosomal RNA". It matches the Rfam family "Bacterial small subunit ribosomal RNA", at positions 524 to 776 of the family's 1533-position model. The record is from RNAcentral.
UACGAAGGGGGCUAGCGUUGUUCGGAAUUACUGGGCGUAAAGCGCAUGUAGGCGGAUCCAUAAGUCGGGCGUGAAAUCCCCAGGCUCAACCUGGGAACUGCGCUCGAAACUGUGGGUCUUGAGUGUCGGAGAGGAUGGCGGAAUUCCUGGUGUAGAGGUGAAAUUCGUAGAUAUCAGGAGGAACACCGGUGGCGAAGGCGGCCAUCUGGACGACAACUGACGCUGAGAUGCGAAAGCGUGGGGAGCAAACAGG